RNAcentral lists this ribosomal RNA (498 nucleotides) under uncultured bacterium. Its description in RNAcentral is "partial 16S ribosomal RNA". It matches the Rfam family "Bacterial small subunit ribosomal RNA", at positions 28 to 523 of the family's 1533-position model. The record is from RNAcentral.
GAUGAACGCUAGCGGCAGGCCUAAUACAUGCAAGUCGAGGGAGAAUGUUGGAUUCGUCUGACAUGAAACCGGCGCACGGGUGCGUAACACGUAUGCAACCUACCUUUAACUGGGGUAUAGCUCAGAGAAAUCUGAAUUAAUCCCCCAUAAGACUACGACAUGGCAUCAUGAUGUAGUUAAAGCUCCGGCGGUUAAGGAUGGGCAUGCGGUACAUUAGCUAGUUGGUGAGGUAAUGGCUCACCAAGGCUACGAUGUAUAGGGGGUCUGAGAGGAUGAUCCCCCACACUGGUACUGAGACACGGACCAGACUCCUACGGGAGGCAGCAGUAGGGAAUAUUGGUCAAUGGACGCAAGUCUGAACCAGCCAUGCCGCGUGAAGGAUGAAGGCCCUAUGGGUCGUAAACUUCUUUUAUUAGGGAAGAAAAAACGGGAUGCGUCCUGUACCGACGGUACUUAAUGAAUAAGGAUCGGCUAACUUCGUGCCAGCAGCCGCUGUAA